Molecule: long non-coding RNA, 625 nt
Filed under: Nicotiana tabacum (common tobacco)
Lineage: Eukaryota; Viridiplantae; Streptophyta; Magnoliopsida; Solanales; Solanaceae
Description: long non-coding RNA (NTAB_LNC004696)
Source: RNAcentral
GGUUUAGGGUUUAACAACCAAAAACAAAGAAAUUGCAGUAAAAAUAAAAGCAUAUAUUAGAAGCAGCAAGAAAAAUUCUCCCAAAAGGGGUAGAAACACGUACGUUAGUGAUGGCAAUAAAAUUAUAGGAGUAUGAACGAAGUGUAAUUUGGCAGUGCAGCCUCGCAAUUGUAGGAUUAUGUACUUCUAAAGAUCAGCAAAAACCUUUUUACCACUUUAAGUAUCUGAAAACCAGCAGGAUGCUCCAAAAAUUAUUGUUAUGCAAAGAAUUAGCGCCCCGCUGAAAAGGAGAAAAAGAAGAAAUCUUUGUAACUUCGGAACUUUCUCAUGGUUAACUUCUCCUUCGUUGAUUCUUUCUCUGCUUUGAGUCUCGUUGAAAUUCAAAGCAGUUGGGUUGAAUAUUUUUUGCUCUGUUGAUUUCUUCUCUUUUUUGUCGAAAGAUUUUCUUUUCUCCGAAGGUUAUAUACUUGCAUCGUUAACAGAAAAUGUUAUGAAUGCAGAAUGGUCACUUACUCUUCCCCUUUUAUUUAUUAAAUUAAAAUUUAAAAGACAUGAAGAUUAGGGUUGAAACGUUUUUUAGAGAGUUCUGAAACGUUGCCUUUUCUGUUUCCUUAUUACUAGGAAG